UGCGGUUAAAACGCUCGUAGUUGGAUAUUCGUUGAGAACUGCCGGUCUACCCCAGUGGUCAGCACACGGUUUGUUCUCGGCACUUUCCUGGGGAGAGUGUUUGCACUUCAUUGUGUGGCACAUGAUCCAGAACUUUUACUUUGAGGAAAUGAGAGUGUUUCAAGCAGGCGCCUGUCGUGAAUACGUUAGCAUGGAAUAAUAGCAUGGGACCGCGGUCUGAAGCUGUUGGUUUUUGGGCCGUGGUAAUGAAAAUAGGGAUAGUUGGGGGUAUUCGUAUUUAACUGUCAGAGGUGAAAUUCUUGGAUUUUUUAAAGACGGACUACUGCGAAAGCAUCUGCCCAGGAUGUUUUUAUUGAUCAAGAACGAAAGUUAGGGGAU
RNAcentral lists this ribosomal RNA (378 nucleotides) under uncultured marine eukaryote. RNAcentral's name for it is "SSU rRNA". It matches the Rfam family "Eukaryotic small subunit ribosomal RNA", at positions 614 to 998 of the family's 1831-position model. The record is from RNAcentral.